Molecule: ribosomal RNA, 2890 nt
Filed under: Vibrio parahaemolyticus
Lineage: Bacteria; Pseudomonadati; Pseudomonadota; Gammaproteobacteria; Vibrionales; Vibrionaceae
Description: bacterial LSU rRNA
Rfam family: Bacterial large subunit ribosomal RNA
Source: RNAcentral
UUAAGUGACUAAGCGUACACGGUGGAUGCCUUGGCAGUCAGAGGCGAUGAAAGACGUAGUAACUUGCGAUAAGCCCAGAUUAGGUAGUAACAACCAUUUGAGUCUGGGAUUUCUGAAUGGGGAAACCCACGUGCAUAAGCACGUAUCCUUACCUGAAUACAUAGGGUAAGGAGGCGAACCGGGGGAACUGAAACAUCUAAGUACCCCGAGGAAAAGAAAUCAACCGAGAUUCCGAAAGUAGCGGCGAGCGAAAUUGGACUAGCCCUUAAGCUUUACACGCGUUAGACGAACGGUCUGGAAAGUCCGACGAUACAGGGUGAUAGUCCCGUAGUUGACGACGUGUGUUCAGUGAAAUCGAGUAGGGCGGGACACGUGAUAUCCUGUCUGAAUAUGGGGGGACCAUCCUCCAAGGCUAAAUACUACUGACUGACCGAUAGUGAACCAGUACCGUGAGGGAAAGGCGAAAAGAACCCCUGUGAGGGGAGUGAAAUAGAACCUGAAACCGUGUACGUACAAGCAGUAGGAGCAGGCUUUGUCCUGUGACUGCGUACCUUUUGUAUAAUGGGUCAGCGACUUAUAUUCAGUGGCAAGGUUAACCAUCUAGGGGAGCCGUAGGGAAACCGAGUCUUAACUGGGCGUUCAGUCUCUGGAUAUAGACCCGAAACCAGGUGAUCUAGCCAUGGGCAGGUUGAAGGUUGAGUAACAUCAACUGGAGGACCGAACCGACUAAUGUUGAAAAAUUAGCGGAUGACUUGUGGCUAGGGGUGAAAGGCCAAUCAAACCUGGAGAUAGCUGGUUCUCCCCGAAAGCUAUUUAGGUAGCGCCUCGGACGAAUACUACUGGGGGUAGAGCACUGUUAAGGCUAGGGGGUCAUCCCGACUUACCAACCCUUUGCAAACUCCGAAUACCAGUAAGUACUAUCCGGGAGACACACGGCGGGUGCUAACGUCCGUCGUGGAGAGGGAAACAACCCAGACCGCCAGCUAAGGUCCCAAAUUACUACUAAGUGGGAAACGAUGUGGGAAGGCUCAGACAGCCAGGAUGUUGGCUUAGAAGCAGCCAUCAUUUAAAGAAAGCGUAAUAGCUCACUGGUCGAGUCGGCCUGCGCGGAAGAUGUAACGGGGCUAAGUAGUAAACCGAAGCUGCGGCAAUAUACUUUUGUAUAUUGGGUAGGGGAGCGUUCUGUAAGCGGUUGAAGGUGUGUGGUAACGCAUGCUGGACGUAUCAGAAGUGCGAAUGCUGACAUGAGUAACGAUAAAGGGGGUGAAAAACCUCCUCGCCGGAAGACCAAGGGUUCCUGUCCAACGUUAAUCGGGGCAGGGUAAGUCGACCCCUAAGGCGAGGCCGAAAGGCGUAGUCGAUGGGAAACGGGUUAAUAUUCCCGUACUUCUUACAAUUGCGAUGGGGGGGACGGAGAAGGCUAGGUGGGCCUGGCGACGGUUGUCCAGGUUCAAGUGCGUAGGCUUGAGAGUUAGGUAAAUCCGGCUCUCUUUAAGGCUGAGACACGACGUCGAGCAUCUACGGAUGUGAAGUCAUUGAUGCCAUGCUUCCAGGAAAAGCCUCUAAGCUUCAGAUUGUAAGGAAUCGUACCCCAAACCGACACAGGUGGUCGGGUAGAGAAUACCAAGGCGCUUGAGAGAACUCGGGUGAAGGAACUAGGCAAAAUGGUACCGUAACUUCGGGAGAAGGUACGCUCUCGACGGUGAAGUCCCUUGCGGAUGGAGCUAUUGAGAGUCGCAGAUACCAGGUGGCUGCAACUGUUUAUUAAAAACACAGCACUGUGCAAAAUCGUAAGAUGACGUAUACGGUGUGACGCCUGCCCGGUGCCGGAAGGUUAAUUGAUGGGGUUAGACUUCGGUCGAAGCUCUUGAUCGAAGCCCCGGUAAACGGCGGCCGUAACUAUAACGGUCCUAAGGUAGCGAAAUUCCUUGUCGGGUAAGUUCCGACCUGCACGAAUGGCGUAAUGAUGGCCACGCUGUCUCCACCCGAGACUCAGUGAAAUUGAAAUCGCUGUGAAGAUGCAGUGUACCCGCGGCUAGACGGAAAGACCCCGUGAACCUUUACUACAGCUUGGCACUGAACAUUGACCCUACAUGUGUAGGAUAGGUGGGAGGCUUUGAAGCACGUACGCCAGUAUGUGUGGAGCCGUCCUUGAAAUACCACCCUUGUAGUGUUGAUGUUCUAACGUCGACCCCUAAUCGGGGUUGCGGACAGUGCCUGGUGGGUAGUUUGACUGGGGCGGUCUCCUCCCAAAGAGUAACGGAGGAGCACGAAGGUGGGCUAAUCACGGUUGGACAUCGUGAGGUUAGUGCAAUGGCAUAAGCCCGCUUGACUGCGAGAAUGACAAUUCGAGCAGGUGCGAAAGCAGGUCAUAGUGAUCCGGUGGUUCUGAAUGGAAGGGCCAUCGCUCAACGGAUAAAAGGUACUCCGGGGAUAACAGGCUGAUACCGCCCAAGAGUUCAUAUCGACGGCGGUGUUUGGCACCUCGAUGUCGGCUCAUCACAUCCUGGGGCUGAAGUCGGUCCCAAGGGUAUGGCUGUUCGCCAUUUAAAGUGGUACGCGAGCUGGGUUUAGAACGUCGUGAGACAGUUCGGUCCCUAUCUGCCGUGGGCGUUGGAAGAUUGAAGGGGGCUGCUCCUAGUACGAGAGGACCGGAGUGGACGAACCUCUGGUGUUCGGGUUGUGUCGCCAGACGCAUUGCCCGGUAGCUAAGUUCGGAAUCGAUAACCGCUGAAAGCAUCUAAGCGGGAAGCGAGCCCUGAGAUGAGUCUUCCCUGAUACUUUAAGUAUCCUAAAGGGUUGUCGGAGACUACGACGUUGAUAGGUCAGGUGUGUAAGUGCUGUGAGGCAUUGAGCUAACUGAUACUAAUUGCCCGUGAGGCUUAACCAU